Molecule: ribosomal RNA, 429 nt
Filed under: uncultured bacterium
Lineage: Bacteria
Description: bacterial SSU rRNA
Rfam family: Bacterial small subunit ribosomal RNA
Source: RNAcentral
UGAGGAAUCUUGCGCAAUGGGGGAAACCCUGACGCAGCAACGCCGCGUGAGUGAGGAAGGUCUUCGGGUCGUAAAGCUCUGUCAGGCGGGAAGAAAUGCAUGGAGGUGAACAGCCGCCAUGCUUGACGGUACCGCCAGAGGAAGCACCGGCUAACUCCGUGCCAGCAGCCGCGGUAAUACGGGGGGUGCAAGCGUUGUUCGGAAUCAUUGGGCGUAAAGAGCGGGUAGGCGGCUUGGUAAGUCAGAUGUGAAAGCCCUGGGCUCAACCCGGGAAGUGCAUUUGAAACAGCCAGGAUCGAGUAGGGGAGAGGGAAGUGGAAGUACUGGUAUAGAGGUGAAAUUCGUAGAUAUCAGGAGGAACACCGGUGGCGAAGGCGACUUCCUGGCCCUAUACUGACGCUGAGACGCGAGAGCGUGGGUAGCAAACAG